AGCAGAUGACUGGGUUUAAAGGGCGCGUAGGCGGAUCGUUAAGUCAGAGGUGAAAUCCCAGGGCUCAACCCUGGAACUGCCUUUGAUACUGGCGAUCUUGAGUAUGAGAGAGGUAUGUGGAACUCCGAGUGUAGAGGUGAAAUUCGUAGAUAUUCGGAAGAACACCAGUGGCGAAGGCGACAUACUGGCUCAUUACUGACGCUGAGGCGCGAAAGCGUGGGGAGCAAACAGGAUUAGAUACCCUGGUAGUCCACGCCGUAAACGAUGAUUGCUAGUUGUCGGGCUGCAUGCAGUUCGGUGACGCAGCUAACGCAUUAAGCAAUCCGCCUGGGGAGUACGGUCGCAAGAUUAAAACUAAAAAAUAGUACGG
This 370-nucleotide ribosomal RNA is filed under the name uncultured Brevundimonas sp. Its description in RNAcentral is "bacterial SSU rRNA". It matches the Rfam family "Bacterial small subunit ribosomal RNA", at positions 544 to 916 of the family's 1533-position model. Lineage: Bacteria; Pseudomonadati; Pseudomonadota; Alphaproteobacteria; Caulobacterales; Caulobacteraceae. The record is from RNAcentral.